UACAGAGGGUGCGAGCGUUAAUCGGAAUUACUGGGCGUAAAGGGCGCGUAGGCGGUUAAUUAAGUUAGAUGUGAAAUCCCUGGGCUUAACCUAGGAACUGCAUUUAAUACUGGUUGACUGGAGUGCUGUAGAGGGUAGUGGAAUUUCCGGUGUAGCGGUGAAAUGCGUAGAUAUCGGAAGGAACACCAGUGGCGAAGGCGGCUACCUGGACAGUUCCUGACGCUGAGGCACGAAGGUCAGGGGAGCAAACGGG
This 253-nucleotide ribosomal RNA is filed under the name uncultured bacterium. RNAcentral describes it as "partial 16S ribosomal RNA". It matches the Rfam family "Bacterial small subunit ribosomal RNA", at positions 524 to 776 of the family's 1533-position model. The record is from RNAcentral.